This 64-nucleotide transfer RNA is filed under the name Sphenacris crassicornis. Its description in RNAcentral is "tRNA-Thr". It matches the Rfam family "tRNA". Rfam says of the family: Transfer RNA (tRNA) molecules are approximately 80 nucleotides in length. Their secondary structure includes four short double-helical elements and three loops (D, anti-codon, and T loops). Lineage: Eukaryota; Metazoa; Arthropoda; Insecta; Orthoptera; Pyrgomorphidae. The record is from RNAcentral.
GUUUUAAUAGUUUAAAAUAAAACAUCGGUCUUGUAAACCGAAACUAAGCCUCUCUUUUAAAACU